CUUAGGAAAUGUUACUAAUUUUACGCAAUAAUAUCUUAAGCUAAUACCGAUUUAAAUUGAGCGGCAAGAACAUUUGCAGAAAUAGUGUUUUAAUGAAUUAUUCACUUGUUCGAACUUGGCACAGCUGAUUAUUGGAUUACUCCAUCCCCAUCUUGUUUGAUUCCAAUGAAUUCUGGCAUCAGGGGUGCGAGCUGAAAAAGAAAGAGAAAAUAAUUAAUAUUGAUUGGCCCACACAGAUGCAAAAUAUAUUCAAGGACGAAAGUGGGUGCAGAACUGUGUAACUCGACUACUCCACUUGGCCAGGUGCUCUAAGGUGCUGAAAGGAAAACAAACUUUACAGCAUUGGUGAUUCCGUUGUAAGUAGGUACUUGAGCCAUCAUGGCAUCUCCAGGUUCCAAGGUCAUCUCGAAGACCUUGCUGCAAGCAUCCAUCGAUCCCGAGGUGAUGUGCACGUCCCAGUUAGGGUAGUUUAUGGUAUGCCAGUGUUCCUGGAACUCUCGUAUCUUCUUCAUGAGUGGCAGGUCACAGAGAGCUCCUCAAAGGGAAACGUCUCGGCGUUGGGCAUCCCGUUGGCCAGGCUCACGGAUUUAGGCCUCUUCAUGAACUCUAAUGCUGCAAUGCAUAGGAAAUUAUAAAUAGACUGUCCAUGUUUAUACAUAUUC
Long non-coding RNA from Hylaeus volcanicus, 662 nucleotides. RefSeq lists it as uncharacterized. The transcript is spliced from 5 exons. Lineage: Eukaryota; Metazoa; Arthropoda; Insecta; Hymenoptera; Colletidae. The record is from RefSeq and is a predicted model, not a curated record.